RNAcentral lists this microRNA precursor (60 nucleotides) under Cordylochernes scorpioides. The record is from RNAcentral. Lineage: Eukaryota; Metazoa; Arthropoda; Arachnida; Pseudoscorpiones; Chernetidae.
UGAAUCGUAGGUGACAGCGGUGAGUGAUGCGGUAGACAUCGCGUCAACUUAACUUUCAUU